GAUGAAGAACGUAGCGAAAUGCGAUAAGUAAUGUGAAUUGCAGAAUUCAGUGAAUCAUCGAAUCUUUGAACGCACAUUGCGCCCGCCAGUAUUCUGGCGGGCAUGCCUGUCUGAGCGUCAUUUCAACCCUCAUGCCCCUAGGGCGUGGUGUUGGGGAUCGGCCAAAGCCCGCGAGGGACGGCCGGCCCCUAAAUCUAGUGGCGGACCCGUCGUGGCCUCCUCUGCGAAGUAGUGAUAUUCCGCAUCGGAGAGCGACGAGCCCCUGCCGUUAAACCCCCAACUUUCCAAGGUUGACCUCAGAUCAGGUAGGAAUACUCGCUGAACUUAAGCAUAUCAAUAAGCGGAGGA
Molecule: unclassified non-coding RNA, 348 nt
Filed under: soil metagenome
Description: partial contains 5.8S ribosomal RNA, internal transcribed spacer 2, and large subunit ribosomal RNA
Rfam family: 5.8S ribosomal RNA (bases 1-120)
Source: RNAcentral